AAAAAAUGAUUUUAGAGGGUGGUAAAUACAAUCCCUGCAAAUUGGUUAAAAUGUACUUACGAAUAUUGAUUAGCAAGUUAACUUUAUAAUAAUGGGUAAAUUCUACCUACACUACCUAUUUUUUAACAGUAACAACUUCUACCUAAAAAACGAUCAUAAAAAAUACCCAAAGACCAUCAGCUUUGCUCUACAAUACGCAUGUCAAGAACUGCGGCGGUUACUCGUACUCGUCAGUGUCGUCACUUCUGCUCGUCGUCGUUGGAGGUUGGUUGCGGUCGGCUGGAGCUGCUGCAUUUUAUUGUCUGGAUUGAAGGUGGUGAUGGGAGCAGCAGUGUCCCGCCGUGACAAGGACCUGGCUCUCCAGGACCGGGACCUGGCCCCACCUAACCCGGACUGAGUUCGAUAAAAAAUAUAUAUGCAUAUAUAUUAUUGUUUGAAUAUGUUUUGUGAUUCUCUCGAAUAUUCUUCAAUAUACUUUUGAUCAUUUGGUUGAUUUCAUCAAUAAACAAGUUGAUUUCA
Molecule: long non-coding RNA, 519 nt
Organism: Gadus macrocephalus (Pacific cod)
Lineage: Eukaryota; Metazoa; Chordata; Actinopteri; Gadiformes; Gadidae
Exons: 2
Source: RefSeq, a predicted model, not a curated record